AUGUCGACCGGCCCCCGCUCCAUCAGCUCUGCCUUUCCCCGCUCCGGCGAGCGCCCGGUGGUGUCGGGCCUUGGCCUAUCCUCAAGCUCUGGCGUAGGCUCGGAGGAGAUGGGUCCUGCGCGCGGUUCCUCCCCGGCCGCGGCCACGGCGGUGGCCGCGCCGGACAUGGUGGCUUGGAGGCCGCCGACGCGAAAGGAGAAGUGGCGGAGCAGGCUUGACCGCCGGGGGCAGGGCGAGCAUGGAGAGCCCUCGACGCGCCCUAGGAGAGAGGUCUCGCCGGAGAUGGCCGGCCUGUGCUUCAGAUGCUUCGAAGAAGGCCACUUUCGGAGGGACUGUACGAACGACAUCAUCUGCUUCCGGUGCGGCGGCGUCGGCCAUGGCUCCAAGGACUGCAAGAGGCCGCACAACCCGUCCCCUGAAGAGGAGCUCCGCCGACAGGUUGCGGCCAGGGUGGCUCGUGCUGACUAG
RNAcentral lists this ribosomal RNA (468 nucleotides) under Triticum aestivum (bread wheat). RNAcentral describes it as "partial small subunit ribosomal RNA". The record is from RNAcentral. Lineage: Eukaryota; Viridiplantae; Streptophyta; Magnoliopsida; Poales; Poaceae.